This 1333-nucleotide ribosomal RNA is filed under the name Staphylococcus aureus. RNAcentral describes it as "16S ribosomal RNA". It matches the Rfam family "Bacterial small subunit ribosomal RNA", at positions 8 to 1140 of the family's 1533-position model. The record is from RNAcentral. Lineage: Bacteria; Bacillati; Bacillota; Bacilli; Caryophanales; Staphylococcaceae.
AGAGUUUGAUCCUGGCUCAGGAUGAACGCUGGCGGCGUGCCUAAUACAUGCAAGUCGAGCGAACGGACGAGAAGCUUGCUUCUCUGAUGUUAGCGGCGGACGGGUGAGUAACACGUGGAUAACCUACCUAUAAGACUGGGAUAACUUCGGGAAACCGGAGCUAAUACCGGAUAAUAUUUUGAACCGCAUGGUUCAAAAGUGAAAGACGGUCUUGCUGUCACUUAUAGAUGGAUCCGCGCUGCAUUAGCUAGUUGGUAAGGUAACGGCUUACCAAGGCAACGAUGCAUAGCCGACCUGAGAGGGUGAUCGGCCACACUGGAACUGAGACACGGUCCAGACUCCUACGGGAGGCAGCAGUAGGGAAUCUUCCGCAAUGGGCGAAAGCCUGACGGAGCAACGCCGCGUGAGUGAUGAAGGUCUUCGGAUCGUAAAACUCUGUUAUUAGGGAAGAACAUAUGUGUAAGUAACUGUGCACAUCUUGACGGUACCUAAUCAGAAAGCCACGGCUAACUACGUGCCAGCAGCCGCGGUAAUACGUAGGUGGCAAGCGUUAUCCGGAAUUAUUGGGCGUAAAGCGCGCGUAGGCGGUUUUUUAAGUCUGAUGUGAAAGCCCACGGCUCAACCGUGGAGGGUCAUUGGAAACUGGAAAACUUGAGUGCAGAAGAGGAAAGUGGAAUUCCAUGUGUAGCGGUGAAAUGCGCAGAGAUAUGGAGGAACACCAGUGGCGAAGGCGACUUUCUGGUCUGUAACUGACGCUGAUGUGCGAAAGCGUGGGGAUCAAACAGGAUUAGAUACCCUGGUAGUCCACGCCGUAAACGAUGAGUGCUAAGUGUUAGGGGGUUUCCGCCCCUUAGUGCUGCAGCUAACGCAUUAAGCACUCCGCCUGGGGAGUACGACCGCAAGGUUGAAACUCAAAGGAAUUGACGGGGACCCGCACAAGCGGUGGAGCAUGUGGUUUAAUUCGAAGCAACGCGNAGAGCGUUUGACUACGGAUCAAGAGGUUAUGGGUUCGACUCCUAUCGGGCGCGUUAAUUAUACGGGAAGUAGCUCAGCUUGGUAGAGCACUUGGUUUGGGACCAAGGGGUCGCAGGUUCGAAUCCUGUCUUCCCGAUAUACUGUAAUUAUUAUGGGGGCUUAGCUCAGCUGGGAGAGCGCCUGCUUUGCACGCAGGAGGUCAGCGGUUCGAUCCCGCUAGUCUCCACCAUAUUAUUUACAAACUAUAUAAGGCGGUGUAGCUCAGCUGGCUAGAGCGUACGGUUCAUACCCGUGAGGUCGGGGGUUCGAUCCCCUCCACCGCCACUAUUUAUUAGUUGUAAAAUUAUAUUUAGGACCU